GGCGGUGUAGCCAAGUGGUAAGGCAUCGGUUUGCAAAACCGUGACCCCGAGUUCGAAUCUCGGCACCGCCU
This 71-nucleotide transfer RNA is filed under the name Paludisphaera borealis. It matches the Rfam family "tRNA". Rfam says of the family: Transfer RNA (tRNA) molecules are approximately 80 nucleotides in length. The record is from Rfam by way of RNAcentral. Lineage: Bacteria; Pseudomonadati; Planctomycetota; Planctomycetia; Isosphaerales; Isosphaeraceae.